UUUUAAAGUUACUAGAUAACUGUAACGAUUGCUUUAGAUCGAAGAGUUUCUAGGUUACGCACGGCGAUUUUAUAAUUCGUUAGGUUAUGUGAUAAUAUUCAGACGAAACAAACUUUGAUCGUCGAUUAUAUUUAAUGUGUCUCGUGACUCCUUACAAAUUAACACGAAUACGAAGAUUCGGACAGAAUGGAUCAACGAAGAGUGAGUACUAUUUACCAUUCUGGACAAUUCGAAUUACCGAACUCCAACAGUUUAACAUCACGAACAUGAACCAUCUGGAUAUAGCCUACAAAGCUCAGGAUUGAAAUCGUACAAUCGGAGGAAGAAAAUACAGUCCGAACAAAGAAAUUGAAGCUGCCGAAGAGUCGCACGCAAGAAAAGGUGCGGUCGGUUUCGCCGCUUGUUCAAGGCCGUUCGGUGCAUAUGCAACCGAUAGAUGCAUGUUUUCUUUUGUCACCAUGAGCCCCUCUUUCUCGAACUGCCAGCUCUUCCAUGGAAUUACUCACUCGACCGGUAUUUUUACCAGUCAUCGCGGCUCGCGACUCGUUUCUCGCGUGUUGUGAUCGGGACCGCCUCUUCUCGAAACGGAAACCGAUUGUUUUACGAAGAUUCAGCAACUAGCGUGCGAGGUCUCUCGCUAUAUACGUGAAAAGAAAAAUAUAUCGCAUGUUACGAAAGAUGAUAAAAUCGUCAAAUUCGAAACCUCAACAUGGAGGAGCAGAGCGCGUAAUUGCGAGUGGAGGAUGUGGUAGCCCAGCGGUCAGGGACUCCGGAACAGAUGUCGUUCCUCUUCCUGGAUUUCCUUUUCGUGGAAUACCUCAAUUUACUCAACAGAUUGCCUGAUGUUCGUUGCUCAUUUGCUCUUUGUUCACUGUCUUUUGAAUAAAGAAUUUCAACGUGGAUGUUCCGCUAUACUAUACUAUAUAUAGUUCGUGGUUGAACCAAGCAACGAGCAAAGUUUCCUUAUUCGUUCGAUAAGUAUGAUCAAUAUGAAGAGAGUCAGUGUCUAUGGCCAAGUUAAAAUGGGGAUAUAGUCUAUUCUCUUUCUAUUAAACAUGGACGCAUAGAAAUUCUUCUUCCUGUCAAUUAACUCGCGUUUCAGUUUGGUUCUAUUAACGCUUAGCAAUUAGAAGGACGAUAAUGGUCGUCAUUUUGCAAUUGUUCGGAUAUGCUUCGUGACUUUUCAAAAUACAGAAUUGUCGUUUCGCCUCAACUAACCGUAGCCAAUAAAUUACUUCCGAAACUUGUCCAUAGUCUGAUCUAAUAACGAUCUAAUAACCUCUAUUCAUAGUUCAAUUUAAUCUAUCCAGGUUGGUAAGUGUCACACGCUGACCAUUGUUUUUGUAUCUACAGAGCUAGAACGGUUGUGUCAACAGAAUUACUCAAACAACUACGCCUUUGUUACGUAAUUGAAACCCAAAGUUAUGAAAGGUAUGCAAACCUUGUGAAACAUAAAAUCAGUCCAAACCACGACAGCUAUCAUCUACAAGUAUCAACAGCCGUCAUGUAACACCUAAUAUAAUACGUGCUCCUAAAUCUUUUCAAAAAGAGUGUCCUCAGCAAGUCCCCAGCUGUUUGCAUUGACCAAGGAGACAAAAGCUAUGGCUGCUGCUGCAGGCUCCCUGAGCCACCUAAAGACAGACCAAGGUCGAUACGGGGUUAGGAUGACGAAGUGCAAGAGAAAGAGAGAGAAAGGAGAAGGAAGCGGAACGGCAGCUGUCCCGUUUCCAGAAUUAUGAAAGGGCGCGUGCGCGGAAGCUCGCUUGGGGGUCACCCGAGCGAUUCGUGGAAGGUUCACAGGUAGACCGGGUCGGUCAGAGAGAAAUGCAGCCCUAACCUCAAUUCGAAGGCCCAUUGCGAGGCACACCUGACCCGGAUCAACCUAGAAACCGAGCUGGGGACGGUCUGCUACGGUUCAGGUUCAAGUUCAAGGUUCUGACACAGAGCACACGCUGGCUAGGUAGGUUGUUUUCUCUCGUCGUGCAUCCUUGAAGGAUAUUUGAUGAAAGGUUGCAAGUUGAAGCUGUUGGAUGAGGAGUUUCGAGUUGAAGGAAGGAUCUGAGGAAAGCGUGAUGGGUUUACCCUGGAUUUUUGUAUGGAAAUUUAUGUUCCUAAUGGGAUUUAGUAGAAGCUUGUUUUAUUUAACUGGAUCUUCAUAGUAGAAUUUCAAUGGAGUUAUUUUACUCUCCACAAACAUGUACACAGACACAGAAAAUAUUAUGAUGUUAAUGCGCAAUUGCCAGAGGAAUUAGUUUUUCUAGGUUAGGAUCUUUCUAUCUAACUAGAUCUGAAUAUUUUAAAGCACGACACAAAAUUAAAUGAGAAGAAUAUUGUA
Molecule: long non-coding RNA, 2335 nt
Organism: Bombus pyrosoma
Lineage: Eukaryota; Metazoa; Arthropoda; Insecta; Hymenoptera; Apidae
Exons: 4
Source: RefSeq, a predicted model, not a curated record